AAUCUUGCGCAAUGGACGAAAGUCUGACGCAGCGACGCCGCGUGCGGGAGGAAGCUCUUCGGGGUGUAAACCGCUGUUGCCCGGAACGAAACGCCUUUUUCGAGAGGCUUGACGGUACCGGGUGAGGAAGCACCGGCUAACUCUGUGCCAGCAGCCGCGGUAAUACAGAGGGUGCGAGCGUUGUCCGGAAUCACUGGGCGUAAAGGGCGCGUAGGUGGCGGCAUAAGGCUGUGGUGAAAGUCUGGGGCUCAACUCCAGAUCGGCCGCGGCGACUGUGUCGCUUGGGCACCGUAGAGGCAGAUGGAAUUCCGGGUGUAGCGGUGGAAUGCGUAGAGAUCCGGAAGAACACCAGUGGCGAAGGCGGUCCGCUGGGCGGUGAGCUCGCGAGAGCUCAAUAGCCGACACUGAGGCGCGACAGCGUGGGGAGCAAAC
RNAcentral lists this ribosomal RNA (432 nucleotides) under uncultured bacterium. Its description in RNAcentral is "bacterial SSU rRNA". It matches the Rfam family "Bacterial small subunit ribosomal RNA", at positions 360 to 773 of the family's 1533-position model. The record is from RNAcentral.